UUUUAAUCACCCAUGUUUUGGCUCACGGUCCUUUGAAUUCGUGGAUAAGAUCUUAUUCUUAUAUAUUCCCAAUCCUCUUCUGAGGUUCCAUCUUUAGACGGCACAUGAAUGUAUGUGGUGGUUUAUUCAAAAUCUCCUAAGAUGGUGUAUGUCUGGUUUUAUGACCCGUAUUCAAUCUGAGAUGGGAAUAUCUAUGCUCACUUAUAUGGCCUGAUGCAUAUUAUCAUUCUAUACAUGUAAAUUCAUAAUGC
Molecule: long non-coding RNA, 251 nt
Filed under: Brassica napus (rape)
Lineage: Eukaryota; Viridiplantae; Streptophyta; Magnoliopsida; Brassicales; Brassicaceae
Description: long non-coding RNA (BNAP_LNC025080)
Source: RNAcentral